RNAcentral lists this ribosomal RNA (253 nucleotides) under uncultured prokaryote. RNAcentral's name for it is "partial 16S ribosomal RNA". It matches the Rfam family "Bacterial small subunit ribosomal RNA", at positions 524 to 776 of the family's 1533-position model. The record is from RNAcentral.
UACGUAGGGGGCUAGAGUUGUCCGGAUUUACUGGGUGUAAAGGGUGCUCAGGUGGACUUGUAAGUCAGAGGUGAAAUUCCAAAGCUUAACUUUGGAGCUGCCUUUGAUACUGCAAGCCUUGAGUUUGAGAGAGGGUAAUGGAAUAUCUGGUGUAGCAGUGAAAUGCGUAGAUAUCAGAUAGAACACCAAUGGCGAAGGCAGUUACCUGGCUCAAAACUGACGCUAAAGCACGAAAGUGUGGGGAGCAAACAGG